Molecule: ribosomal RNA, 253 nt
Filed under: uncultured bacterium
Lineage: Bacteria
Description: partial 16S ribosomal RNA
Rfam family: Bacterial small subunit ribosomal RNA
Source: RNAcentral
GACGGAGGGUGCUAGCGUUGUUCGGAAUGACUGGGCGUAAAGGGCGCGUAGGCGGCCGCUUGCGUCGGAUGUGAAAGCCCGGGGCUCAACCUCGGAACGGCAUCCGAUACGGGGCGGCUCGAGACCGAGAGAGGUGAGUGGAAUACCCAGUGUAGAGGUGAAAUUCGUAGAUAUUGGGUGGAACACCGGUGGCGAAAGCGGCUCACUGGCUCGGUUCUGACGCUGAGGCGCGAAAGCGUGGGGAGCAAACAGG